GUGCUCACUCCAGUAGCACAUAGACUUGAAUUAGAACGAUACAGAGAAGAUUCUCAUGGCCCCCGUGCAAGGAUGACACAUAAAUUCGUGAAGUGUUCCAUAUUUUU
This is a small nuclear RNA of Vicugna pacos (alpaca), 107 nucleotides long. Lineage: Eukaryota; Metazoa; Chordata; Mammalia; Artiodactyla; Camelidae. The record is from Ensembl.